AUGGCUGCGAAAGCUCGUGCGAGGCCGCGAGACUCUUGGCGGCGAUUCUGGCUGGUGCUGGGCCAUGCCUUGAGCGAGUGCUUCCUCAUCGUAAUGCUGCUUGUGGUCGCCGUGGUGUCGUAUACCGCGACGAGGUUCGCGCGCAUCUGCAGGAUCCGGUCACCGUGCAUGCUGUGCUCAAGAUUGGACAAGGUUCUGCAUGGCAAGGCCUGGUUCUCUGAGGAGCUGAUUUGUGCAGCACACAGGGUGGAAAUCGCGCGUUUAUCUUAUUGCCAGAUUCACAGUAAGCUCGCACAUUCUGAUGAUCUAUGUGGAAAGUGCUUGCUUUCAUGUUCUGGACCAGUUGGUAAGCCAGGUAACCCAACAAACAUGAGCAUUAAGGAGAAGGCGGGGCACACACACCGAUGUUCUUGUUGUUCAGAGCCAUUCACGAAGAGAGACAACGCGCACAAGUUAUUUGAGGAGGUGAAUGGCAGGUCUCAGAAUGAUGGAAUGAGCAAAGUGAAGGAGAGAAGCAUGGCCACGGCAAGCGUUGGGCAUUCUUCGGAUGAGGAUUUUGAUCAAUUGCCUCACGGAGGUUACAGAAAGCUAAAUGCCUGUCAUGACUCUCAAUCAGAGAUUCAUGUCUCAGAUGAUGAUGUUGGCGGCUAUGCAAAGCCUUAUGAAGCUAAACGUCGAACCAGAGAUCUCGACGAGCACUCGAAGGCUGUGCCUCAGCAAAUUCGUCAGGAGCUUCCGAAAGAGAAAACUUUUCUGGUUGGUGUUGAGGAGGUCGGCGAUUUAGAGGGUGUUUCACGAAGCCCUGACCAGGAAGCUGCAGAGGCUUUUGCUGCUUCUGCAUCUAACGAGGCCCGCUCAACUACAAACCAUUAUAUCAACCGCAACAGUAGCAUGAAGAAUGCUCCUGGUGGUAGAGGCAAUCUUAGGUCUCCUCGAUGGUCUGAAGUAAUCUCCGCUAAGGAAACCAAUUCAACAACACAUGAAGAAGUGAAGACAUUCAUGUCCCAGUUGUCUUCUGCGCGAGGCCUCGAUGGUCCUUGGAGUGAGGUGGCUGCUAGCCCCAGAAUCAGCAUACAGAUUGAUGAGUACAGUCAAUCUGAUGCCAUUGAUGGCAGACAGUUCCUUGAUCUGGAACCAUCUGAUGUUCCAACUGAAGCUGAAGGUGAAAUCUCCCCUGAGUCCCUGAAGAAGCAAUGCGAGCUUAACAAGAAAAAACUAAGCAUCCUUUAUAAGGAGCUCGAGGCAGAACGGAGUGCUUCGUCUGUUGCAGCAAGUGAAGCGAUGGCUAUGAUCAAUAGGUUGCAAGUGGAAAAGGCUGCAAUGCACAUGGAGGCGCUGCAGUAUCUCCGGAUGAUGGAAGAGCAGGCUGAUCAUGACCAAGAAGAAAUUGGAAAGCUAAAUGACUUGCUUACAGAAAGGGAGAAAGAAAUGCUUGACCUGGAAGCUGAACUCGAAAGUUAUGAGAGCAAGUUCCGCAUCGAACCAUUUGAUCUCGGGAAUUUUGACGCUGUUGAUGGAGAUAUGGCACUCAGUGUCUUGGAUAGCUCAGAUUUUGUGAGGAAUACCAUCUUUGGUUUUGAAGAUGAGAAGGCCAAAAUUUUGGAAUCCUUGAGCAGAUUAGAGGAAACACUUGGCGUGCCUUACACAAAUAGAUUUGAUUUGGGUGGCGCAAGUGACAUCCUACAGAGUGGGUCACUGAGAGAUCAUCCAAGUGAUGGGCCUGGCCAACAUGUAGAGAACUCAGAAUUGGAAUGUGGGAGUUCACUAUUGCCUCAGGAGCACAUGAACGACGAAUCACACUUGAACGAUGACUCACUGAGAGAUCAUCCAAGUGAUGGACCUGGCCAAGAUCUAGAAAACUCAGAAUUGGAAUGUCAGAGUUCACUAUUGCCUCAGGAACACAUGAACGAUGAAUCACACUUGAAAGAUGACUCAAUGAGAGAUCAUCCAAGUGAUGGGCCUGGCCAACAUGUAGAAAACUCAGAAUUGGAGUGUCGGAGUUCACUAUUGCCUCAGGAAGACUUGAACGAUGAAUCACUAAGAGAUCAGCCAAGUGAUGGGCCUGGCCAAUACGUACAAAACCCAGAACUGGAAUGCCGAAGUUCACUGUUGCCGCAGGAAGACCUGAAAGAUGAAUCCGUCUCAUUACAACGAAAUGAUGAAAAUCAAUCUGUUGAGAACCAAAAAUAUGUUGGCUCAUGUUCGCGCUCAGAUGAUGAUAAAAUUAGUUCCGUGGAAAGCAUUAAACAAGAAAUUUCGCUCUUGAAUAGUAGACUCAUGGCACUUGAAGCAGAUCAGAAGUUUCUCAAGCAGAUAUUGAGUUCUCUUAAAUGUAGUAGUGAUGGAGAACAAUAUGUGCAGGAGAUAACUAGUCAUUUGAGGGAGCUGCGAAGAAUCGUUACCAAGCAGAGAGAUAGGACAGCUCUAUGA
This 2430-nucleotide ribosomal RNA is filed under the name Triticum aestivum (bread wheat). RNAcentral describes it as "partial small subunit ribosomal RNA". The record is from RNAcentral. Lineage: Eukaryota; Viridiplantae; Streptophyta; Magnoliopsida; Poales; Poaceae.